CACCGCGGUUAUACGAGUAACCCAUAUUAAUACUUACCCGGCGUAAAGGGUGGUUACAGAAAAAUCUGCAAUAACUAAAGUUAAGACUCCAUCAAGCUGUUAUACGCACCCAUGAUUGGAAACAUCAACAACGAAAGUGACUUUAUUAAAAUUAGAAACCUUGAUUCCACGACAGUUGGGCCC
RNAcentral lists this ribosomal RNA (183 nucleotides) under Squatina californica (Pacific angelshark). Its description in RNAcentral is "partial small subunit ribosomal RNA". Lineage: Eukaryota; Metazoa; Chordata; Chondrichthyes; Squatinidae. RNAcentral also lists the same sequence under 1 other name. The record is from RNAcentral.